Molecule: long non-coding RNA, 8347 nt
Filed under: Medicago truncatula (barrel medic)
Lineage: Eukaryota; Viridiplantae; Streptophyta; Magnoliopsida; Fabales; Fabaceae
Description: long non-coding RNA (MTRU_LNC006184)
Source: RNAcentral
AUGGAUCCAACGUUAAAUGACACAUUUGUUCCGGAUGAAGUGAAAAGGUGCAUUCAUGUUGGUCUCUUAUGUGUAGAACAAUAUGCAAAUGAUCGACCUACAAUGUCUGAUGUUAUAUCAAUGUUAACAAACAAAUAUGAACUCACAACAAUACCUAGAAGACCAGCAUUUUAUGUUAGAAGAGACAUUCUUGAUAGAGAAACAACUUCUAAAGUGCCAGACACCGACACCUAUUCUACAACAAUUUCUACCUCGUGUGAAGUAGAAGGGAAAAUAUAAAUAAUCAAUAAAUAUAUAUGUAGAUUGUUCAUACACUCGUUUGAAACAGAUUUUGUUCUUUGAAGUAUCAAAAAAUGUAAGCUUGAAUAUGGUUUGGUUUUAUGAAAUAUUCAGUGUCUGUAAAAAAAAAUUCAAAAUGGUUCUUAAAGUACGUACUUUUUCAUUGUAGUUCUUGUUAAUAGAUUUUAGUCUAAAUUAGAUUUUCAUAGUCCAUCACCAACAUUUUUGAUUUCUAACAAGUCCUAUUUAUAAAUGGCACAUAACAAAUUAUUUCUACAAAAAUGGUACCUGAAAAGCAUGCCAAUCACAAAAAUGGUAACCUAUUAGCACUAGGCAGAGGACGAAAUUUAAUGCAAUGGAGUUCCAAAGCUAAUCUAUACUAAUUUUUUGUAUGAAAAGGCAUAUUUACCUCUGGAAUCCUUUCAAUCAUUUUUUACUUUAAAACUUGUUCAGCUUCCGUUACUAAUUUUCUAUACUAAUUUUUUGUAUGAAAAGGCAUAUUUUUUAUUUUAAUAUAUUAAGAUCUGAAAAAAGAGAAUACACCCGUUUAAGCUGAAUUUACUACUUCCUACUCUUGACAUACUUUUGAGCUGAAUUUACAAACAAUACAAUUUGGAUAUAGGCAAAAUUAAUGUAACUCAAAUAAAAUGUUCAGCUACUGGUUUUUUUCUUCUUUAUAUUUUGAAUAUGCUUUUAUCUAGAAAAGAAGACAUGUUUCAUUUUUGCAAUAUUUUUUUUUUUUUUUUAUAGUUAAGAUAGUAAUAAAAGGUUGAAUUAUUUUGUAGGUUACUAUACUUUUUAAUUUGCAAUUAGUUCUUUCCUUGAAUUGAACCGCAAGAGUGCAAAUUUCUUUAAGUGCAGCAACAAGAAGGGGGUUAAUGGGAAAUGGUUGAGUUUGGCUUUGCAAAAGGUUCAAAUUUUCUCUUGCCUAGUAAUUUUUGUAGACUCCCGACUUGCUCAAAUUUAUCUGAAAGAGGAGUGUUAGUGGAUGGUGUUAUUUCAGACUCUGUGUGGUGUCCUAGGAUUCGAGAGGUGAAGGAUCACUUGUUUUGUAGAAGUAACUUCGUUGCAGAGGUAUUCGUUUUUUAAAUGGAUCGGAACGGGGGUCAUUCUACCUGCAAAUUUUCUUUCCCUCCUAGAUUAUUUAUCUUCUUUAAAUAAAAGGCAUUGUAAGGGCUUAACACUUAUCCAGCAUGCAAUAUUGUGGAUGAUUUGGGAAUCGCGAAAUGAGGUUAUUUUCUCCUCAAAGAUUGCGGAAGUGCAGGAGAUCGUAGAAGGUAUCAAAGUAACAUCUAUAAAGUUGGUUUCUUGCUAAAAAAAAGGGGACCAUGUUUCUAUAAUGAUUUCAAACCCUCUUCUUUGUUUAAAUACUUAAGUUAGAGGUUGGUUUUUUUUGGGCAUGUAACCCUUAUACUUUUCCCAACUUGUAGGUUAAGUACUCUUUCUACUUCUCUCCUUUCUAAUAGAUAUGGUUGUUAAAAAACAAAACAAAAAUCAUAGCUUUCAUAAGAACACCUGCUUUAGGCUUACGUACUCUUUGUAAUAAAAGAAAAAAAGCACACCUACUUGAAUAACGUAUUAUUUUCUUGAAAGAAAAAAAAUAAACAAAUUCUUUUCAUUCGUUAUAUCACAUAAUUUAAUUUCAUUACUUCAAUUUAAAAAAUAAAAUAAAAAAUAAAUAAACUUUACUUAGGUCCCUUGCGAACAGGGACGUUAUAAUCUAUACAUUACUUAUCCUUCAAUUAUUAUUGUAUUAAAGUAAACUUCUUUUAAAAAAAGUAUAGUAGAGAAAAGUAGUCUAGUUUGUGCAACAUUUAGUAGUGGAAAAAUAAAGAUAAAGUUGAUUUGACAUUAACAUUGUGAACCAGAAGAAACUCUGAUAAAGUUGGGCAGUGCAGAUUGCAAGAAACAAGUUGGUGAGUAUUUCUCUUCUUUUUGAAACAAUAUUCAACAAUGAUGAUAAGCUUUGAAAUAAAGAAACAAGUUGUAUUGAUAUACCUAUGGUUGUGGUGGAACACUACUGCUAAUAUUUGUGUUGAAGCAACAAGUGAUAGUUUGAAGCCAGGUGAUAAAUUGAAUUACAAAUCCAAGCUAUGUUCUAAACAAGGCAAGUUUUGUCUUCAAUUCGGCAAUAAUUCUAAUUCUGAUUUCCAAUGCUUGUUUAUAAGUGUUAAUGCUGAUUAUGGCAAAGUAGUGUGGGUGUAUGAUAUAAAUCAUUCCAUUGACUUUAAUACAUCAGUUCUAUCACUAGACUACUCUGGUGUGCUCAAAAUAGAAUCUCAAAAUAGGAAACCAAUAAUCAUUUACUCUUCACCUCAACCUACCAACAACACUGUGGCCACUAUGUUAGACGCCGGUAACUUUGUGCUUCAACAAUUUCUUCCCAACGGCUCAAUGAGUGUGUUGUGGCAGAGUUUUGAUUAUCCAUCAGACGUUUUGAUCCCAAUGAUGAAGUUAGGCGUUAAUCGAAAAACAGGACAUAAUUGGUCAUUGGUUUCAGAUAAAUUUAAUCUUGAAUGGGAACCAAAACAAGGUGAAUUGAACAUCAAGAAAAGCGGCAAAGUGUAUUGGAAAAGCGGAAAACUUAAAAGCAAUGGAUUAUUCGAGAAUAUUCCGGCCAAUGUUCAAAGUAGGUAUCAGUACAUUAUUGUCUCUAACAAGGAUGAAGAUUCUUUCACGUUCGAAGUUAAAGAUGGGAAGUUUGCACAAUGGGAACUAUCCUCGAAGGGGAAGUUAGUAGGUGAUGAUGGAUAUAUUGCUAAUGCAGAUAUGUGUUACGGAUAUAAUAGUGAUGGAGGGUGCCAAAAAUGGGAGGAUAUACCAACUUGCAGGGAACCUGGUGAGAUGUUUCAGAAAAAGGCGGGAAGACCAAGCAUAGACAAUUCAACAACAUAUGAAUUCGACGUGACUUAUAGUUACAGUGAUUGCAAGAUCAGAUGUUGGAAAAAUUGUAGUUGCAAUGGAUUCCAACUAUAUUAUAGUAAUAUGACUGGAUGUGUAUUCCUUUCAUGGAAUUCGACACAAUAUGUUGACAUGGUUCCGGAUAAAUUUUACACCUUGGUAAAGACAACAAAAUCAGCUCCGAAUUCCCAUGGUACGUAAGUUAUAAUGUCAUUUUAAGUGAUUAUUUAUUUUCUGCUUAUUCAACUAUAGAAACUGCCUUCCUUCAGCCCAUUAUAUAACCGAUGCCAAUCUAAGGACAAAUAAAAUUGAUUGGAAUCAAACAUCAUCUCUGUAUUUUAAUAGCAAAUGUUAGUAUACUAAUUAGUAUGAUGUUAGCAUAUUUUUUUUUGUUAUGACUUGAAUCGUAGACUUUAAACUCGACAACUUAUUUAACCCCUUAGCUUAAUUGUUGAGCUACCCAACUGCCCUCCUCUAUAAAUUAGAUUAUCGAAAAUGUCACUUUAAAUUUUAAAAUAAGGUUUGUUAUGUUGUUUGGGGGUUGUGUGCGAGCACCGGAACGUAGGUGGUGGAAGUUUUUUUUGGUGGCAGCUUGUGACGUUGGUUGAGAUUUUUUAUGUACGUUUGGUCAGGGUUUUGGUACAACUUUUAUUUUCCUUUGUAUGUUGCUACUUUACGACUCCUAGUCUAGCAUUUUUUGUGUUGGUCAGAUUCUUUAUGAUUUUAAUAAAUUCAUUUGGCUUCUUCAAAAAAAAAAAAUUAAAUAAGGUUUAAUCUCAUUUUGCAUAUUAACCCGUUAGUCUAUUUAUUACAUAUGUGACAAAGUUACUUAAACUACCUAUUGUCUAAGGGUGUGUUUGGUAGGAAGAGAAGUUGUGAAGAGAGAAAAAGGUGGGAGAGAGUAUGAGUAGAGAGAAAAUGUGAGAGAGAAAUAUGUUUAUUUUUGAAAGGUCUAAUAUGUAGAGUAGAUUUUAUGUAUUGUUUGUUGUAAGAGAAAGAAGAGAGAUAAUAUACCCUUGAAUUAAAAAAUUAAAGAACCUAUAAUAUAAAUCUUCUUAUAUAUUAAAGUUAACCCGUAAGCCCUAAUUUUAACCUAAACCCUAUUGCAUAAUUUUACUGUUUUAACCUUAAUGCUCGCACUUAAUCUCCUAUUUUCAUGAACAACCCUAAUGCUCUCACCUAAUCUUCUUAUCUUCUUAUAUAUUAAAGUUAUCCCGUAAGCCCUAAUUUUAACCUAAACCCUAUUGCAUAAUUUUACUGUUUUUACCCUAAUGCUCACACCUAAUCUCCUAUUUUCAUGAACAAAGCAAAUCGGCAUCGCUUUAUUUCCCCUAUUUCUUCAAAACAAAUCGCCCUAUUUCUUCAACAAAACAAAUCGCCCUAUUGGAAUAAAAGGGUUUUGAAAAAUUAUAGCAACAUUUUUUUUGUUAAUAUUACAUUUUUCAUCCAAAUUGAAACUUAACUCUCUUUGUUAAAUAUCUACCACAAAAUGCACCAGAAUUUUGCAAUCUAUAUAAACAGGUGGAAGAAACAUUUCAACAAACAGUUAAAGAGUAUCAUUUACGGUAAAGGCCAAAUAUUCGAUAAAAGAAAAAUUAUUUAAAUACAACAUUUUACAUGUUGAGGUUAAGAAUGAGCUAUUUUUAGGUACAUAAUAUAACAUUAACAUAUAAUUUUUACAAAAGAAUGAAGUAACAUUUUGUCAAAAAAAAAAAAAAUGAAGUAACAUACCAAUAAUAUAACAUUGACAUAUAAUUUUAACAAAAAGAAUGAAGUAACACACGAUGGAUAAAAAUUAAUAUUUUUAAGGUGAAUAACUGUGGUGUCUGAGGUUCGAAUUCCAACAUCUGCAUAUAUUUGGGACCACAUAUUUCAUUCUCUUUGAUAUGCAUUGAGAUUUGUUUUUGUCUACUACAUCUACAAUUAGUUUAAUUAACAGGUUAAAUAUAAUUAAAUUGGAUAAUUAAUUUUUUAUGCCAAAAUGAUAAAAAAAAGAACGAAACAAUUGGUGUUUUGAAUUAAAUAAUUUAACAAAUCAUUUCAUCAACAUGUACCUGUCGUCAAAAAAUCUUUUGUGCUUCAGUUCUUUUUUUUUUUUUUUUUUAUCUAUUUGUUUGAAAAAUCCCUCUCUUUAUUUAUUAACUAUUAUGUUGCAGCAAGCAAGGACACAAUUGGAAAAUGAGAGUUCUCUCCUAUUUCUCUGCUGUCUUGCGAAGACUAAAAAAUGUGCAGCCCCAUGCUUUUAGACUCUGUCUCUUCUAUUUCUUUCCUCUGCAAAACUGAAGAAAAGCCCAUAUUCUCUUGUAUCUCUCUCGCCCCAAUUUCUCUCUUCCCUAAUUCAUCUCUACCAAACAAACCGUAAGAGACAAACUUGCCUUGUACAUUAUAUGGUGGAAAAUGCAAUUUGAUUAAAAAAAAAGAUUGAAAAAGAAGUUCUUUCACUACAACAAUUAUGAUGUAAUGCAACUCCAUUUUGAAAGGACUAAAAAUAAAAAAACCGUUAUCUAGUACGACAAAGUCAACACAAUAUUAAUGGAUAGUCUCGGGUUAUUAUAUUCGAUAAUAACAAAAAAACGGUCAUAAUAUUAAUACUAUUUAGUUAUUUUAUUUUUACUUUUUAAUUAUUUUAUAUUUACUUUUCGAGUGUUGCUAGCAUUCCUCUUUUAUAGAAAUAGAAUCCAAAUGUAAUCUCACAAUCGCUUCAUCUCAUAAUCACUUCAUCAUAAUUGUUUAAUCAUAAUCGUUUAAUCACAUCACUUCAUCAGAAUCACUACUCAUCAUAUCUACUUUAUCGCGAUCACUUUUACAUCCUUAUCACAGUCGCUUCAUCACAACCGUUCUAAUCAAAUUUAUUUCACAAGACCUAGAACUCAAAUAAAAUAAAAAAGUGUCAAAGGGAUAUAUUUCUAUUGCUCAAUGAUUAUUUUUUAUUUUUGUUGAAACAAAGGGGCUAAGAAAACCCCAAAAGAACUAGAAACCACGAGGAAAAGCUACAGCUGAAGACUCCGCAACAACCAGUAAUAAAGAAAAAUCCGGAACACGAUCAAAAAUACGAUAAUGAUUAUCUAAGGACAAUCCAAAUUUUGCCAAGAUGUCAUGGUAGAAACAAUAGCCAAAUGAUUCCAAAAAGUCAUAUUUAUAAAUGAGGAUUUUGAAGUUGAAGUAUUAGGGUUUGGCAUCAAGAUAUGACCAACAAAAUUAAAUGUUUGAGAUGAAUAUGCUUAUAUCACAAUUCAAAUUGAUUUUGUAUAGUCAAUGCAGGUAUAAAAAGGUGGAUAUGGAUAGGUGCUGCAAUUACAACUGCUUUACUCAUAUUAUGCCCACUCAUUAUAUGGCUAGCCAAAAAGAAAAAAAAAUAUGCACUUCCAGGUAUAUCAAUAUGGAUACUUUAAAACAGUCAAUGCAAGUAAAACAAGAUGGAUAUGUAUAGGUUCUAUCUUUAUCUUUGAUUUUUUUGGUUAUGUAGAUAAGAAAAGUAAAAGAAAGGAAGGUAAGAGCAAUGAUUUGGUGGAAUCAUAUGAUAUCAAAGAUCUUGAAGACGACUUCAAGGGACAUGAUAUAAAAGUUUUUAACUUUACAUCAAUCUUGGAAGCAACUAUGGAAUUUUCCCCUGAAAACAAGUUAGGACAGGGAGGUUAUGGACCCGUUUAUAAGGUGACUUUAUAGUUAAAUUGUAUGUUUUAAAAACAUGUUGUAAAUUACUAUUAUAAUUAUGGCACCAGCAUCAUGUUGCAAACAAGUGUUUCUAAUGUGGUAAUGUUGUUUUUCAUGGUUAGUGAUUAUUGUUUCGGACAAAACUUAUAUGUAUUUUUUAUAGGUAUUUUUUGGUAUGGUUCUUAACUGUAGCAACUAUGUUUCUUCAAAUGUAUUAAGUUAAGAACCAUAUUCAUAUUAUCUAAAGAAAUGCACCUAAAUUUUGUACUUGUGUUUUAAGAUUUCAGGGAAUCUUGGCAACAGGGCAAGAAAUUGCUGUAAAAAGGCUUUCGAAAACAUCUGGACAAGGAAUUGUGGAAUUCAAAAAUGAAUUGUUACUUAUAUGUGAACUUCAGCACAAAAAUCUUGUCCAACUACUUGGUUGUUGCAUUCAUGAAGAAGAAAGGAUUCUAAUUUACGAAUAUAUGCCAAACAAAAGCUUGGAUUUCUACCUAUUUGGUAAGAAUGUGUGAAGUCUAUAUUUGUAUGUGAUGUUAUCCUAGCUCAUGUUUUAUAUACUCAUUAGUUAGCCAUGGAAAACUAAAUAACAUUAUGAUUUGCUACUUUUGAAUAAUAUACAUUUGAAUAACAUUAUGUUUUCAUUGAGAAGAUUGUACAAAAAAGAUGUUGCUAGAUUGGAAGAAGCGUUUCAACAUAAUCGAAGGAAUUUCUCAAGGAUUACUCUAUCUUCAUAAGUACUCAAGACUCAAAAUCAUUCACAGAGACUUGAAAGCUAGCAACAUACUUCUUGAUGAGAAUAUGAACCCAAAAAUUGCUGAUUUUGGUAUGGCAAGGAUGUUUACACAACUGGAAUCCACAGUAAAUACCAACCGGAUUGUUGGGACUUAGUGAGUAUUCUAAAAUUUAUUUGUUAUUAAUAUUUUUAUUAUGAUGAUUUUGUGAAAACUUUUUAUUUUAAAGUUAUGAAUUUUUUUGUGUAGUGGUUACAUGUCUCCAGAAUAUGCCAUGGAAGGAGUUUGUUCUACAAAGUCUGAUGUCUAUAGCUUUGGAGUGUUGAUGCUUGAAAUUGUUUGUGGAAGAAAAAAUAAUAGCUUUUAUGAUGAUGAUCGUCCACUAAAUCUAAUCGGACAUGUAUGUCAAUUACUUUCAUUGAGUUUUUUUUAAUAAAUAUUACCUAUUCUUCGUAAUUUGAUUAGAUUAUUAAUAGGCAUGGGAGCUAUGGAAUGAUGGUGAGUAUCUAAAGCUAAUGGAUCCAACGUUAAAUGACACAUUUGUUCCGGAUGAAGUGAAAAGGUGCAUUCAUGUUGGUCUCUUAUGUGUAGAACAAUAUGCAAAUGAUCGACCUACAAUGUCUGAUGUUAUAGCAAUGUUAACAAACAAAUAUGAACUCACAACAAUACCCAGAAGACCAGCAUUUUAUGUUAGAAGAGACAUUCUUGAUGGAGAAACAACUUCUAAAGUGCCAGACACCGACACCUAUUCUACAACAAUUUCUACCUCGUGUGAAGUAGAA